AGGGGAUCCUAUUUAAAAACAAGAAUACAAGUUUAUUCAACAAAAAUUUAACACGCCUAACACUGAAUUUAAGAAGAUGAAUAAACCUGUCUCUGUCCCCAAGCGGCUCAAAAUGUAAGAGGGGAAGCAGACGUGUAGAUAAGUUAGUGAUAAAUUUAGCACAAGUGACAGUGCUAAAUUAGAAGUGAGUACAAGGCAUGUUCAUGGCACAAAGAAGAGGCCAGUUUUACCCAGAAGGUCCAGGAUCCAGACACUACUGACCUGACAUCUGAGCUGAGCUUUGAAGAAUGGGGAUAUUUCCGGAGUGCUUGGUAUGUGCCAGGCAGUGUGCUAAGUAAUUUAUCUGUGUUACCUAAUUAAAUUCUCAUUACAAUUUAGGAGACGGGAAACCCCAUUUUACAGACAAGUCCAGGUGGUUUAACCUAGAACACACUUUGCUAAAUAUUGUGCUCGACUGACACACACAAACACACAAGAAGAGAUCGCUGGAUGGACUCGCGGAGGUUGAAGGUGGACAACUAUUAAGACGGACGAGGAUUCUAACGUCGAGAACUUUGCUCUAGGUAGUGUGCAACUAUAAUCUCUUGUUCUGGUUUAGGCUUAACAUAUAAAUGGAAAGAACAGUUAGGGAAUUUUCUUGGUAUCACUGCAUUUAUUUCCCACUUUAAAGUGAAGAUCCAAUUAUAAAUCCUACUGACUCUAGAACUAUAACAAUAUGACAAUUGACAGAGGGUAAAAAAUAUCUGCAAACUUAUCAGUAAGAUAAGGACAAAAGUGAACUUUUAUUUGGCAGCACAGCAUACACUGGUUCUGAAAAGGUAUGAAAAUCGGAAUCACACGCUUGUAAAAAAUUAGAGAUGUUCCACUCUAGAUUGAUACUACCUCUGAAGCGAGGGAUCUCCAUCACUUUAACUGCUCUGUGAUUACAAGCAACUUGAAACUUUUCUGAGUCCCAGUUUCCUCAACUGUAGAGUUGCUGCUAGGGUUAGAUGAGAACAUAUAUGAAAGUACCUAGAUAAGUAUCUGUGCCAUAACAGGUGUUUCAUAUACACUGCGGUAUUUAUGAAUACUUGGAGAGUAAUAAAGAUGUGUUUAAAUGAGUGACAAAUUCAGAGGAACAAAUUCAGGGUGUCCACCACCCAAAGACUAAGGAUUGUUA
This 1159-nucleotide long non-coding RNA is filed under the name Equus asinus (donkey). Its description in RNAcentral is "lncRNA (ENSEASG00005034694.1)". The record is from RNAcentral. Lineage: Eukaryota; Metazoa; Chordata; Mammalia; Perissodactyla; Equidae.